This 270-nucleotide ribosomal RNA is filed under the name uncultured bacterium. RNAcentral describes it as "partial 16S ribosomal RNA". It matches the Rfam family "Bacterial small subunit ribosomal RNA", at positions 55 to 339 of the family's 1533-position model. The record is from RNAcentral.
AUGCAAGUCGAGCGGGGUUUUCGGACCUAGCGGCGGACGGGUGAGUAAUGCGUAGGAAGCUACCCGAUAGAGGGGGAUACCAGUUGGAAACGACUGUUAAUACCGCAUAAUGUCUACGGACCAAAGUGUGGGACCUUCGGGCCACAUGCUAUCGGAUGCGCCUACGUGGGAUUAGCUAGUUGGUGAGGUAAUGGCUCACCAAGGCGACGAUCUCUAGCUGGUUUGAGAGGAUGAUCAGCCACACUGGAACUGAGACACGGUCCAGACUCC